This 378-nucleotide unclassified non-coding RNA is filed under the name uncultured delta proteobacterium. Its description in RNAcentral is "contains 16S-23S intergenic spacer region". Lineage: Bacteria; Deltaproteobacteria. The record is from RNAcentral.
UCGCGGCUUAUCACCGGCAGUCCCCUUAGAGUGCCCAACUGAAUGCUGGCAACUAAGGGCGAGGGUUGCGCUCGUUGCGGGACUUAACCCGACAUCUCACGAUACGAGCUGACGACAGCCAUGCAGCACCUGUCUCUCUGUCCCCGAAGGGAAAGUCGUAUCUCUACGGUUGUCAGAGGAUGUCAAACCCAGGUAAGGUUCUUCGCGUUGCAUCGAAUUAAACCACAUGCUCCACCGCUUGUGCGGGCCCCCGUCAAUUCCUUUGAGUUUUAACCUUGCGGCCGUACUUCCCAGGCGGGGUACUUAAUGCGUUAGCGUCGGCACUGCAGGGGUCAAUUCCCGCAACACCUAGUACCCAUCGUUUACGGCGUGGACUAC